UCCACCCCAAUUUUCCACCUCUCUUAUCUGAUUUUGUUGCCCCAAAAGUCUUCAUACUUUUGUCAUUUUCUUGGCUGCAUCAGAUCAGAAGUCCAGCCCCGCUUUCUCUACUCCUUUUUCCUCUUUCUUUGUUCUUCUUUCUCUCUUCUUUUGUUGCUUUUACACGGCAGCCCUCCGUUUCUCACCAACACAAUAUAUUCCUCUAUAAAGAAGAAAUUAAACAAUUAACCCUAAGGUUUCAGCUUCAAAUUGUUGGGGGUGUUACCAGUAUCCAAGUCUAAGCUCCUUCGACUUUAGGCUCUCGGUUCCUCUACUUUUAGGUAAGGGAUAAGUUAUAUGGGCAUUUGUUAGCAGGUUUUAUUUUGGAGCAGAGGGAGCCUUAGUCGAGUUUGGAAGGAGCUGGUUUUAGUUUUAUAUGUAUAGAUCCUAAAUUAGUAAUUUUAUGUUUAGCUUUGUAGUAUUGUGUAUUUUAGGAUCAAAUGAAAGUGUACACCUUAAAGUAUUAAGAGAUGUAUUAUGUGAAAGUGUGGAACUUAAAUGAUUGGUGGAUUAUAUUAUUCUUUGGAGUACAAUGUAGAUGCUCUGAAUGUCAAGUGAAAGGUUAUAUAAUUUAAGUAAAGAAACAAGGAUUGAAAAGAAAGAACAA
This is a long non-coding RNA of Quercus robur (English oak), 646 nucleotides long. RefSeq lists it as uncharacterized. The record is from RefSeq and is a predicted model, not a curated record. NCBI's taxonomy places the organism in Eukaryota, Viridiplantae, Streptophyta, Magnoliopsida, Fagales, Fagaceae. The transcript has 3 exons.